RNAcentral lists this unclassified non-coding RNA (337 nucleotides) under soil metagenome. Its description in RNAcentral is "partial contains 5.8S ribosomal RNA, internal transcribed spacer 2, and large subunit ribosomal RNA". The stretch from base 1 to 120 matches the Rfam family "5.8S ribosomal RNA", at positions 35 to 154 of the family's 154-position model. The record is from RNAcentral.
GAUGAAGAACGUAGCGAAAUGCGAUAAGUAAUGUGAAUUGCAGAAUUCAGUGAAUCAUCGAAUCUUUGAACGCACAUUGCGCCCCUUGGUAUUCCGAGGGGCAUGCCUGUUCGAGCGUCAUUUGUACCUUCAAGCUCUGCUUGGUGUUGGGUGUUUGUCUCGCCUCUGCGUGUAGACUCGCCUCAAAACAAUUGGCAGCCGGCGUAUUGAUUUCGGAGCGCAGUACAUCUCGCGCUUUGCACUCAUAACGACGACGUCCAAAAGUACAUUUUUACACUCUUGACCUCGGAUCAGGUAGGGAUACCCGCUGAACUUAAGCAUAUCAAUAAGCGGAGGA